GCCGCCAUGGUGAAAUCGGU
Molecule: transfer RNA, 20 nt
Filed under: Catopsis nitida
Lineage: Eukaryota; Viridiplantae; Streptophyta; Magnoliopsida; Poales; Bromeliaceae
Description: partial tRNA-Leu
Source: RNAcentral